Non-coding RNA from Pimephales promelas (fathead minnow), 373 nucleotides. NCBI's taxonomy places the organism in Eukaryota, Metazoa, Chordata, Actinopteri, Cypriniformes, Leuciscidae. The record is from RefSeq and is a predicted model, not a curated record.
AAAAUAGUAAUCUCCUGCUGAGUCAAUGGAUGUUAAAAUCGUGCCGGAGGUUCAGUUAAAUCGGGAUUUUACAGUAUACCCGUCAUUAGACUCCAUGGAUGUGAGAAGACUAAUAAUAAGCUUUUGUCAGAACAACGGCGGAGGUUUGGACAGUCUGGACGUUUUAGCACCCUCCUGCCAGCAGAAUCACCCAGGGUGAACGAAGAUAAUAAUGAAAGUCCUGUGAUCUGUUACGGUCACGUUGGCUUGCCAGCAAGUAGCCGACUUCACUAACAACCACCCAGAACACCGUAGACCAGAGAUGUAGCAACCACACGGCAACCUGCUAAAAGUCAUUCAUAAACACCUUUGCAACCCAUAGCAUCAUGGCGGU